GUGAACGCUGGCGGCAGGCCUAACACAUGCAAGUCGAACGGCAGCACAAGAGAGCUUGCUCUCUGGGUGGCGAGUGGCGGACGGGUGAGGAAUGCAUCGGAAUCUGCCCAUUUGUGGGGGAUAACCUCGGGAAACCGGGACUAAUACCGCAUACGACCUACGGGUGAAAGCAGGGGAUCUUCGGACCUUGCGCAGAUGGAUGAGCCGAUGCCGGAUUAGCUAGUUGGAGGGGUAAAGGCCCACCAAGGCGACGAUCCGUAGCUGGUCUGAGAGGAUGAUCAGCCACACUGGGACUGAGACACGGCCCAGACUCCUACGGGAGGCAGCAGUGGGGAAUAUUGGACAAUGGGCGCAAGCCUGAUCCAGCCAUGCCGCGUGUGUGAAGAAGGCCUUCGGGUUGUAAAGCACUUUUGUUGGGAAAGAAAAGCAGCCGGUUAAUACCCGGUUGUCAUGACGGUACCCAAAGAAUAAGCACCGGCUAACUUCGU
This 488-nucleotide ribosomal RNA is filed under the name uncultured bacterium. RNAcentral describes it as "partial 16S ribosomal RNA". It matches the Rfam family "Bacterial small subunit ribosomal RNA", at positions 29 to 506 of the family's 1533-position model. The record is from RNAcentral.